RNAcentral lists this ribosomal RNA (786 nucleotides) under fungal endophyte. RNAcentral describes it as "eukaryotic LSU rRNA". The stretch from base 425 to 786 matches the Rfam family "Eukaryotic large subunit ribosomal RNA", at positions 1 to 364 of the family's 3401-position model. Lineage: Eukaryota; Fungi. The record is from RNAcentral.
CUCCGUGACCCUCCCGGCCUCCCGCCCCCGGGCGGGUCGGCGCCCGCCGGAGGAUAACCAAACUCUGAUUUAACGACGUUUCUUCUGAGUGGUACAAGCAAAUAAUCAAAACUUUUAACAACGGAUCUCUUGGUUCUGGCAUCGAUGAAGAACGCAGCGAAAUGCGAUAAGUAAUGUGAAUUGCAGAAUUCAGUGAAUCAUCGAAUCUUUGAACGCACAUUGCGCCCGCCAGCAUUCUGGCGGGCAUGCCUGUUCGAGCGUCAUUUCAACCCUCAAGCUCUGCUUGGUGUUGGGGCCCUACAGCUGAUGUAGGCCCUCAAAGGUAGUGGCGGACCCUCCCGGAGCCUCCUUUGCGUAAUAACUUUACGUCUCGCACUGGGAUCCGGAGGGACUCUUGCCGUAAAACCCCCAAUUUUCCAAAGGUUGACCUCGGAUCAGGUAGGAAUACCCGCUGAACUUAAGCAUAUCAAUAAGCGGAGGAAAAGAAACCAACAGGGAUUGCCUCAGUAACGGCGAGUGAAGCGGCAACAGCUCAAAUUUGAAAUCUGGCCCUAGGCCCGAGUUGUAAUUUGCAGAGGAUGCUUUUGGUGCGGNGCCUUCCAAGUUCCCUAGAACGGGACGCCAGAGAGGGUGAGAGCCCUGUACAGNUGGACACCAAGCCUUUUGUAAAGCUCCUUCGACNAGNCNAGNAGUUUGGGAAUGCUGUUCAAAAUGNGGAGGUAUAUUUCUUCUAAAGCUUUAUACCUGGCCANAGACCGAUAGCGCACAAGUAAGUGAUCUAAAAGA